This 479-nucleotide ribosomal RNA is filed under the name uncultured bacterium. RNAcentral's name for it is "bacterial SSU rRNA". It matches the Rfam family "Bacterial small subunit ribosomal RNA", at positions 33 to 518 of the family's 1533-position model. The record is from RNAcentral.
GGACGACGCUGGCGGCGUGCCUAACACAUGCAAGUCGAGCGGGGACACGGGGCUUCGGUCCCGUGUUUCAGCGGCGGACGGGUGAGUAACGCGUGAGCAAUCUGUCCCAUUCACCGGGAUAACAACUGGAAACAGUUGCUAAUACCGGGCGAGACCACGGUGCCGCAUGGCGCAGGGGUAGAAGGGAUACCGGAGUGGGGUGAGCUCGCGUCCCAUUAGGUAGUUGGUGAGGUAAGGGCCCACCAAGCCGACGAUGGGUAGCCGACCUGAGAGGGUGAUCGGCCACACUGGAACUGAGACACGGUCCAGACUCCUACGGGAGGCAGCAGGUGGGAAUAUUGGGCAAUGGGCGAAAGCCCUGACCCAGCAACGCCGCGUGAGGGAAGAAGGUUUUCGGAUUGUAAACCUCUGUCCUAAGUGACGAAGGAAGUGACGGUAGCUUAGGAGGAAGCCCCGGCUAACUACGUGCCAGCCGCUGC